Quercus robur (English oak) is the source of this 559-nucleotide long non-coding RNA. RefSeq lists it as uncharacterized. NCBI's taxonomy places the organism in Eukaryota, Viridiplantae, Streptophyta, Magnoliopsida, Fagales, Fagaceae. The record is from RefSeq and is a predicted model, not a curated record. The transcript has 2 exons.
ACUUUAAGACAACUCACUAAAUUUUGUUUACAAAAUCAUUUAUAUCACAUCAACAGCAUCAGCUAAUUAAAGUUAACCCCACCCACCUUAUUCCUUAACGUUUGUUAACCCCGUCAAAAUCUGAAGAGCAAAUUCAAAAUUUAGAAUGGAAUUGGGUGGGUUAGUGAAUAGUGAACAUUUUCAAUCUCAAAACUCGCAUUCAAAUUUCGUUUUUCAUUGUUCAUCAAAACUUUACAAACCUGCUCUGUCUCCAGUCCACCUCUAGUCCUUCAGCUCUCAGAUAGCUCGCUUCAGGCUCAGGCUUGAUGAGAUCUCCAUCCUUCUCUUGGGAUGAUAAAGCCCCAGCUAAGCCACAUUGCUAAUGAAAGGUUUUGAAACAUUCAUGAUGGAUUGAAGUCAUGUAUCUUGAAGUUACCGAGACAAAUUUUUAGUUUUACUAAAGUUUUAGAUUUGAUACAAGUUAACUUCUUUUUAGUUUGAAACAAGUGACAUGUCAUGUACAUACUUUUGGAAUUUGGCUUAUAGAGAUCAUAAUAGCUCAUUGUUGUGCUUGAGAAAA